AGAAAAAUAAAAAAACCUAGACCUAGAGGGAUGGGUUCAGCCGUAUUUCACAUGGAGAAGACCUUCAUCUUCUUCAACGAAUUACACAAAACAAGGAGCAGACCUUCAUCUUCUUCUCCAGGACAAACCAUGAGAAGAACCCCAUGAGAUCUUCUUCUUGAACACAAGACAAAAAGAUACAAAAAAUCCUAAGAGAACAGUCAGCUACCACAUCAACCUUCACCUGCCGGCGACCACUCCACACACAUCCACGACCAACUAACUCCUCCAGCUCCAGCCAUCGGCGACCCCUUCAACACCGGCAAACUGACCCCCUCUCUCUCCGGGCUGACACGAACGACCCCUCAUCUCAUUUUCUUGAAGCUAACACACACAAGAGCACUCCAAUCCCAAAUGUUUCUAGAUCUCAAGCAUCUAGGUUCCAAUGCCGGCGAGCUUCACCGGGAACCGGCGGAAACUAAUCCGAAAAUCCCCUAAAAACCAGCUCGAAAACUAUCCUUUUUUCAUCUCAAAACGGAACUGAAAAGUAGUCGACCCACAACCAUCGACCCCUCGAUUUUUUUCUCUUGCAUACCAGCUGAAACUCACACGAAAAGGUCACUAUUUGUUCAGCUCUGAAAUCUUACAUUGAAGCUGUGCUCGAAGUCGAGCUUCGCCGAAAACCUGUUAGCUCGUCAUCUUUCAUUCGACUCCAUCAAUUCUAACUGAGGUUCUAGCCGAUUUUGUUGCUGCUCGUAGAGUUUGCUGAUUUUGGGUUGCCGGUUCGAGUUUCGCUCGCGUUUUCGGAUUCAUCUCAUUGUUGUCUCCUUCAUUCGGAUUUACACUUCGGCAAAGCUAUUUCAAUUUUCGGGUACUAAAGAACAAUUUCUUAACAGGUUCGAUCCUUCAGGAGGUUGAUACGCACGGGAAGGGCUUGAUAACAGAGUGAUUUGAUUUGCUAGAGAUCCAGUUGUAGAGACCAGUUAUCAGCAGUAGAUUUGUUUGUUGGAUUGAGCAUCGAGAGGUGAGGCAGAGCUGCAUAUAUCAUUGGCCACAGUUUGACUUGUCUUUUCUUAUAUACUGUUGUUUCAGUUCAAACAGUAUUAUUAUUUAGUUUUUUCAAACCUAUAUUCUGUAAUAGAGCUCAUGACUUCGUAUUUACCAGUUUCUAGGAGAUUUACCUUAUAUUGGCAGUAUUUUGUUACAUUAAGGUUUCAGACUUAUGUUAUUUCUAUAAUUUAUGUUGUUCGGAUUCUU
Molecule: long non-coding RNA, 1236 nt
Organism: Nicotiana tabacum (common tobacco)
Lineage: Eukaryota; Viridiplantae; Streptophyta; Magnoliopsida; Solanales; Solanaceae
Source: RefSeq, a predicted model, not a curated record